CCUACGGGAGGCAGCAGUGGGGAAUAUUGGACAAUGGGCGAAAGCCUGAUCCAGCCAUACCGCGUGAGUGAUGAAGGCCUUAGGGUUGUAAAGCUCUUUUAGUGGGGAAGAUAAUGACGGUACCCACAGAAAAAGUCCCGGCUAACUCCGUGCCAGCAGCCGCGGUAAUACGGAGGGGGCUAGCGUUGUUCGGAAUUAUUGGGCGUAAAGGGUGCGUAGGCGGCUUUGUAAGUCAAAUGUGAAAGCCUUAGGCUUAACCUAAGAACUGCAUUUGAUACUGCAAGGCUUGAACAUGAGAGAGGGCGAUGGAAUUCUUGGUGUAGGGGUGAAAUCCGUAGAUAUCAAGAGGAACGUCAGGGGCGAAAGCGAUCGCCUGGAUCAUCGUUGACGCUGAGGCACGAAAGCGUGGGGAGCAAACAGGAUUAGAUACCCUGGUAGUCCACGCCGUAAACGAUGAGUGCUGAAAGUGGGUUGUUUUAUAUCUGCUUUGUAGCUAACGCGUUAAGCACUCCGCCUGGGGACUACGGUCGCAAGACUAAAACUCAAAGGAAUGACCGG
Molecule: ribosomal RNA, 558 nt
Filed under: uncultured bacterium
Lineage: Bacteria
Description: bacterial SSU rRNA
Rfam family: Bacterial small subunit ribosomal RNA
Source: RNAcentral